RNAcentral lists this long non-coding RNA (1407 nucleotides) under Felis catus (domestic cat). RNAcentral's name for it is "lncRNA (ENSFCAG00000051874.1)". The record is from RNAcentral. Lineage: Eukaryota; Metazoa; Chordata; Mammalia; Carnivora; Felidae.
AUGACGCGCGGAGGAGGCAGCGGGAGCCGCCGGAGCCGCAGCAGCCGGGAUCAGGGCGCCGCGCGCGGGGGGUGGGCGCCUCUUGCUCCGCCCCACGAAGCCCCUGCGCGCCCAGGGACGCGUCCCCCCCGCGGCAGCCGCGCCAGGCUCCGCCGUGUGGCCGCCGCCGCCGCCGCCGCCGCUGCCAUGUCCCCGGGGAAGCCCGGGGCGGGCGGAGCGGGGACUAGGCGGACGGGCUGGAGGAGGAGGAGGAGGAGGCGGCGGCUGGAGGCGGCGACGAGGGCGCCCGGGCUCGGGCGCACGGCGGGGCCCGACUCGCGCGUCCCGGGCACGUUCCAGGGCGCGCGGGGCAUGAAGCGGGCGGCGCGGGAGGCGCGGCCGCCUCCGCGCUCGCCGGGGCUGCGCUGGGCGCUGCCGCCGCUGCUGCUGCUGUUGCGCCUGGGCCAGGUGAGCGGCCGGGUGGGCCCGGGCGGGGUGUGUGUGUGUGUGGGGGGUGGGGGGUGGAGGGUGGGGGGAGAGCACGGAGGGUGGGGGCGGGACUGGCAUCCCUUGCACCUGCCCGGGUGUGCCCUGCCUGCGGGGUCCGCGGGAGGUGGCGAGGGGCCCGAGAGCUCGGAGCCCCCCUCCUGGAGGGGGUUCGCCGGAACCCAGCCGGCCUCGCGCGCCGGCGACCGAGCCCCUGCCCCGGCUGCCUGGUCCCGGCGGGGGCGCGGCGGGACCCGGGGUCCGGGGUGCCCGUGGCCUCCCGUGGAAGCCCCCGCGCGGGUUCCAGGCCGUCUCUGGCUCGGCCCUUCCCGGAGCUGGUCACAUCUGGCCGGCGCGGGCCCGGCUCGCCCGCCCGCGGCGGCCGGAGGGGGCGUGUUUGCGAAGGGCUCGCGUCGCGGAGCGGGGCCGGCCUGGCCGAGCGCGGCCGACCUCCGACCCGGCCCGCAGGGGCCCGAGGGGCCGGGCCGGAGGGCAGCGGCGGCGGCCCCGGGGGAGCCCGGGCAGGGCCGGGCUUGGGGCCGCGGGGCGGUGGGCGAGGCGCGGGGGCCUCGCGGCCGAGGGCAGCGCUUCUGGGGAAAGUCUCCAGCCCCGGCAGAGGUGGCCACUCGCAAGCGUUCGUCAAGGCGACGGUCCCCCUUCCCGGGGAAGCCGCUGGCUUCCCUGGGCGUUGAAGUCGUGCUUUGUGGGCGCAGGCUCUCCCUCCCCACCGCCCUGUUUUCUAGCUUCGCUUUUCAGAUAAUGCUGUGCCUGGCAUUUUGGCGGCCGACCUUUCUGAAAGCGCCGUUUCCCCUUCAGAGUAUUCCCACUGGGGGCGAGGCAGGGCAGCUGGGAGACAUUCCCAUGUCACAGAUAGGGAACUUAAGGGGGGGGGGAGAAGUGAAAGAGCAGAAUCACCCAGCCCUGGCGCGGGAGCUGAGCUAG